GAAUCUUCCGCAAUGCGCGCAAGCGUGACGGAGCGACGCCGCGUGGGUGAUGAAGGCCUUCGGGUUGUAAAGCCCUGUCAGCUGCCAAGAACUACGGGGCGUGAAUAGCGAUCCCGUUUGACUAAGCAGCAGAGGAAGCACCGGCUAAAUACGUGCCAGCAGCCGCGGUAAUACGUAUGGUGCGAACGUUGUUCGGAAUCACUGGGCUUAAAGCGGGCGUAGGCGGUUCGGUAAGUCCGUUGUGAAAGCCCUCGGCUCAACAGAGGAACUCCAACGGAUACUGCCGGGCUAGAGUGCAGGAGGGGAGAGUGGAAUUCCUGGUGGAGCGGUGAAAUGCGUAGAUAUCAGGAGGAACGCCGGUGGCGAAAGCGACUCUCUGGCCUGUUACUGACGCUGAGGCCCGAAAGCUAGGGGAGCAAACGGG
RNAcentral lists this ribosomal RNA (424 nucleotides) under uncultured bacterium. RNAcentral describes it as "bacterial SSU rRNA". It matches the Rfam family "Bacterial small subunit ribosomal RNA", at positions 359 to 776 of the family's 1533-position model. The record is from RNAcentral.